Long non-coding RNA from Mustela lutreola (European mink), 4132 nucleotides. RefSeq lists it as uncharacterized. NCBI's taxonomy places the organism in Eukaryota, Metazoa, Chordata, Mammalia, Carnivora, Mustelidae. The transcript is spliced from 3 exons. The record is from RefSeq and is a predicted model, not a curated record.
CAUUUUCCAGAUGAAGCAAAUGAAGCUCAGAGAAGUCAAGGAAUUUCCUGAUGAGUUGCAGAGCUGAAACUUAAGUCCAGUUCUGUCUGACCUUAAGGCCUGGGUCCUUAAUCAUGAUACCAAACCGGCCAGUGGAUAAACACACUUUUUCUUUCACUGUUUUAUCCUUGAAGGCAUGAACUGCCCUAAUUAAUCCUCCUCACUCCACAGGGCCUGGCACAGUGCAUGGUCUGGGAGUAUAUUGAUCAAAUGAAUUUGUGUUUGUUAGUUUGGGAGACAGAGAGUCAGGCUGCUGCUGCUGCUGCUGCUGCUGCUGCUUCUUCUUCUUUUACUUUUGUUAUAGAAAAUUUCAAACAUAUACAAAGAACAGGAAACCCAUCUAUUUACCACCCAGCUUCAAUAAUUAUCAAAUCUUAAUCAUUCUUGUUUGAUCUGUGCCCUCCAGUUGGCCUCCCCCACGUCUCUGACAUCAUAUCAUUUCACAGAGGCCUGAUUUUUAAUAAGUCUGUGAAAACAGGCAAGUUCUUUCCCUCCUCUGAUCUUUCAUUUCCUUGUUUAUAAAUUACGCUUCCCUCUCUUUCCUCAUCUAAGUUAUAUGUGUCUCAUGGAGUUGUGGUAAGAAUAAAAGCCAUUAGUGUAAAAAUGCUUGGUAAACUGUUGAAAGUCUCUGAAGGAUGGGGGGUUGCUUUUCUAUUGGCCCUGCCUCUCCAGCCUUUGGCAACCUAGCCAUCCCGCAACUUUUCUGAAUCCUGGCCCUCCCAGAGGGUCAGGCUCUCUCUGCACUGCGGUUGGGACUGCAGCUGAUUGGGUGAGAGGGUGGAUCAGGCAUAAGUUAGAUCCCAGAGCUUCCCCAAGAACCCCACACCCUCCCUUCAGGCCACCUUGAGGGUCCAGGCGAAGAAGAAGGCCACUGUAGUUGUUUCCUUCCAGGAGCCGCGAGACAAUCCAGGGCAACGAGCCCUCCACCUCCUCACCAAUAACCUUACCAGCCAAUACCUGCAGCAGGGGGCAAUCUCUGCCCAAGGGAAGGAGGAAGAAAAGAGAUGUCCUCUGAUGGAUAGGGAAAGAAACUGGCCCAAAUCACAUUCUGAUGGAAAGAUUGACUAUUUCCAGUAACUUCUGUGUACCACCAGGCAGAUUGGCAACCUUACAUAGAUCUUUAUUUUAUUAUUUUCAAAAUUACACAAUAUAUUCUCAUAGUUCAAAAUUUAUUUUGUCUAUUGGGUAAGGGAAUUGCAUCCAGAAUAUUUAAAGAACUCUUACAACUCAGUAAUAAAAGACUAAUCGCCCAAUUAAAAAUGGCAAAGCAAGGUGAUAUCCACAAAAAUGGCAGAGUGGGGAACUCUGGGAGUCUGUCCUUUGUCAAAACGGUCUGGCAAAAAUGGUCAGAGUCAACCUUUCUAGAAUUCGGGGGGACAAUCCAAGUCCAAGGCUUAGAGCAACCAAGGGAUUGCUUCACUGGGAGAAAGCCAACUUAAAUAUGUUGAGCUCUCUGUGGUGUUAUCACUUACCCCACCCCCAGCCUCCUCCCCGGCACAGAGGUGGUCUUGAAGACAACAGUCUGCAUUUCUGGUGGGGGUACUUGGCUCUGGAGAGAGCUGAGUAGAUCUUGUUCCCAAGGAAUUGUGUGUGUUGUUUUGGCUAUUUAGGUUUUCCCCAAAAGGGCUUUGUAUCACUUACCUUCUAAUGCUCUCAGGGCAGAACAGCUAUGCUAGAGGACAGUCCCUCAAAACAUUGAAAGAUGAAAGAAUGAGCAAAAAUAACAGUUGGAGCAAACAACAGAUGCAUGGAAAGACUGGGAGGAAAGAAAAGUGAGGAGUGAGAUUUGGGGGGAAUAAGGAAAAUUCCCACACACAUUAGGGAACCUAGAAAGCCACACACAUUCUGGGGCUGCCCUGGGUCUCUGCAUCCAUAUUUCAGCCUCCCCACAAACCGCCACUCCCCAAAGUAGUCAGAAGACUCCAUGAGACUUACAGGGCUCCGGGGAGCUGCAGGAUCCUCAAGGCCCCUCGCCACAUGCCCUGAAUCCCAGGCCCCUCAGGAGGAUCAGGCCCCAGGCAGGAAAUGGUGACAGUGAGCAGAGAGCAGGCCCUAUGGAGGAGAGGGUAGGAUCAAACCAAACACCUAAGAGACGGGGGUGGAAGGUGACAGGUGCCCUCUGUCCUCACCUGCCUUCAUCGCCUGCAGCCUUCAAGUACAGCGCCGAGGCCACUCUUGAGUCAGACACCUCCACCUCACUGGCAUUUUCCACUACCCUGGAGGAAGGGAGGCUGAGCUCAAUUCCCAAGCACCAGGGUCCUGUCCAGCCCCAGAACCUCUGUGUUGGAAGCUAGAUGGGAUCCCAAGAGCCUGUGAGAAUCAUCCCUAAGGUUCCAAGCUCAGUAUAUCCCCUAAAAGUCUCUCAUCUGUACGAUCUCCUUUUUCCUCCUGUUAUCUGCCCACUGAGGGAAACAGGCUAGUUGGAAUUUCUCCCAUAUUGCAGAUGGAGAAACUGAAGUUCUGCUCAGUGAGAUGCUCAGCUGUCCAAGGAUGAUAAGGACCGAGCUGAAGAGACAUAGAAGGAUAGGCUGUAGAGAGAAUAAUAUGAUGAUCCUCCAAGCUCUCAGCUUCAGCAAUUAUCAACCAAUGCUCAUAUUUACAGAAGAUAACCACCCUUAAAAAAAAAAAAAAAAGACAAUGGCUUAAUUUGGUAAGGAUGAAGAGAAAAGGGAACACCCUUACACUGUUGGACAGAAUGCAAACUGGUGUAGCCACUCUGGAAAACAGUAUGAAGUUUCCCCAAAAAGUUAAAAAUAGAACUACCUUAUAAUCCAGCAUUUGCACUACUAGGUAUUUAUCCAAACAUUAGAAACCUAGGGAUUCAAGGGGACAUGUGCACCCCAAUGUUUAUGGCAGCAAUGUCCACAAUAGCCAAACUAUGGAAAGAGCCCAGAUGCCUACUGACAGAUGAAUGGAUGGGUAUAUAUGACAUCUUCUUGAUCCAUUCAUCUGUCAGUAGACAUCUGGGCAUUGUUCUCUCUCUCUCUCUACACACACACACACACAGAGGAACAUUACUCAGCUCUCAAAAAGAAUGAAAUUUUGUCAUUUGCAAUGACAUGAAUAGAACUAGAGGAUAUUAUGCUAAGUGGAAUAAGUCAGUCAAGAGAAAGACAAAUAUGAUUUCUCUCGCAUGGAAUGUGAGAAACUGUUUAAAACAGAUGAACACAGGGAAAGGAAAGGAAAAAUAAGAUAAAAACAGAGAGGCAGGCAAACCAUAAGAGACUUAACUAUAGGAAACAAACUGAGGGUUGUUCAAGGGGAGGUGGGUGGGGGCCUAGGGUAACUGGGUGAUGAGCAUUAAGGAGGACACUUGGUGUAAUGAGCACUGGGUGUUAUAUGCAACUGAUGAAUCCUAAAUUCUACCCCGAAACUAAUAAUACACUAUCUGUUAAUUAAAUUGAAUUGAAAUUUAAAUAGAUUUUUUCUUUUUUUUUUUUUAAGAUUUUAUUUAUUUAUUUGACAGAAAGUGAGAUCACAAGUAGGCAGAGAGGCAGACAGAGAGAGAGGAGGAAGCAGGCUCCCUGCUGAGCAGAGAGCCUAUGCCAGGCUCAAUCCCAGGACCCUGAGAUCAUGACCUGAGUUGAAGGCAGAGGCUUUAACCCACUGAGCCACCCAGGCACCCCAAAAUUUAAACAUAUUUAAAGAUGCCUUAUGGAGAUAUAAUUCAUACAUCAUACAUUUUACCCACUCAAAGUAUUUCAAUGGGUUUUAUUAACACCAUUUUAGAACAUUCCCAUCACUUUAUAAAGAAAUUUUGUUUUCUCUAUUAUCACCUCUCUAACCCCACCCUACUACAAUCACUAAACAACCAUUCAUCUAUUUUCUGUCUCUAUAGAUUUGGUUAUUCUGGAUAUUCAUAUAAAACAAAUGACGUGUUCUUUUUGUGACGGGCUUCUUUCACUCAGAAUAAUGUUUUCAAGGUUCAUCCAUAUGGUAGCAUGCAUCAGGAUUUCUUUCCUUUCUAUGACUGAAUGAUUUUUCCUGACAGAGGUGAAAAGACUGGGAGGGUCGCCCUCUCUGUAAGAGGCUGCCCCGAACGGCUGGUUUGAUUCUCGAUGCUUAGCGUGAAAUAAAGCUUUGCUUGACCUUC